CAGCCGCCGCGGUAAUACGUAGGUCCCGAGCGUUGUCCGGAUUUAUUGGGCGUAAAGCGAGCGCAGGCGGUUAGAUAAGUCUGAAGUUAAAGGCUGUGGCUUAACCAUAGUAUGCUUUGGAAACUGUUUAACUUGAGUGCAGAAGGGGAGAGUGGAAUUCCAUGUGUAGCGGUGAAAUGCGUAGAUAUAUGGAGGAACACCGGUGGCGAAAGCGGCUCUCUGGUCUGUAACUGACGCUGAGGCUCGAAAGCGUGGGGAGCAAACAGGAUUAGAUACCCCCGUAGUCCCUGUCUCUUAUACA
This 301-nucleotide ribosomal RNA is filed under the name uncultured bacterium. RNAcentral's name for it is "partial 16S ribosomal RNA". It matches the Rfam family "Bacterial small subunit ribosomal RNA", at positions 509 to 808 of the family's 1533-position model. The record is from RNAcentral.